AAAUCGGAGCGGACCCCCCACUGAAAUUUAACGAUCCCAAAUAAUAGAGGGCAUUGAAUGAUAAACACCAAACAAGAAAAUCAUCCAAAAUAAUACCGUUAACCCCACACUGGUGUACUUCAAGGGAAAGACCAAAAGGAAAAGAAGGAACUCGGCAAAUACCCCAAAGCCUCGCCUGUUUACCAAAAACAUCGCCUCUUGCUAACUACACAUAAGAGGUCCUGCCUGCCCUGUGACCCCUGGUUCAACGGCCGCGGUAUUUUGACCGUGCAAAGGUAGCGCAAUCACUUGUCUCUUAAAUGAGGACCUGUAUGAAUGGCACAACGAGGGCUUAACUGUCUCCUUUUCCCGGUCAGUGAAAUUGAUCUUCCCGUGCAGAAGCGGGAAUCCUAACAUAAGACGAGAAGACCCUAUGGAGCUUUAGACUUUCGAACAGAUCAUGUAAGCUACCCCCAUGAAAUGGGUAAUAACUAUUGAAUUCCUGUUCUCCUGUCUUUGGUUGGGGCGACCACGGGGAAGAAAAAAACCCCCAUGUGGACCAGGAGCACAUUACUCCUACAACCAUGAGCCACAGCUCUAAUGCACAAAACCUUUGACCAUUAGAUCCGGCAAAGCCGAUCAACGGACCAAGUUACCCUAGGGAUAACAGCGCAAUCCCCUUUAAGAGUCCAUAUCGACAAGGGGGUUUACGACCUCGAUGUUGGAUCAAGACAUCCUAAUGGUGCAGCCGCUAUUAAGGGUUCGUUUGUUCAACGAUUAAAGUCCUACGUGAUCUGAGUUCAGACCGG
RNAcentral lists this ribosomal RNA (788 nucleotides) under Oedalechilus labeo (boxlip mullet). RNAcentral's name for it is "partial 16S ribosomal RNA". It matches the Rfam family "Bacterial large subunit ribosomal RNA", at positions 1538 to 2619 of the family's 2925-position model. The record is from RNAcentral. Lineage: Eukaryota; Metazoa; Chordata; Actinopteri; Mugiliformes; Mugilidae.